AAUAGAUUUGUCGUCUGCUAGAUUGUUAGGCAUGUCCGGGGAUUGCAAGAAAACAUUACAUUUUGUAGCUUAUUCAAGAGUCACAGCUCUAUUUUUACAGGUCUGCUUUAAUUGUAUUAUAUUUAAAGGAAAUAAUAACGCUAACUGAAAAAAUAGUAAAAUGUUUUUUAGAUGAAAAAUGCAUAUUGUCUAUUUGUCAUAGGUAAUCUUCAACUAUCUUCUACCUGAUCAUAAGCCGGAUGUUUUCAAUCCACCCCCAUCAAAAGAACCAGGAGCAGGGAAUGCAUUAGUUAACAUAACUCUAUCAGGUUUAAGAAGAUGGGAUGCUAUAUAUUUCCUUCACAUUUCAAAAUAUGGAUAUACAUAUGAAAAUACUAUAGCAUUCUUCCCUCUCUUUCCAAUGAUUGUUAGAACCUUAUCGAAUACCAUUUUCCUUCCUCUUCAAAAUAUCAUUUCAGAAGAAUUUACACACCUCAUCUCUGCAGUAAUAUUCAACCAAAUCUGCUUUAUUUUCGGAAAGUUUCAAAAGAAAUGCUCUAUAGAAUGUCUUUUAUAAAAUAUUACAUUAUUUCCCUUAUUAAGGAAUUCAUUACGCUUUUCUUUCGAAACUUUUUACAGCCGCAAAACAACUUUAUCAUCUUACAGUUACAAUAUUGAAAAGUGAAAAACUAGCUAAAUCGGCAGUAUUUUUCUUCUAUUUAAACCCGGCUACAAUAUUUUUUGUUGCACCUUAUAGUGAAAGUCUCUAUUCGUUAUUAACAUUUACUGGAUUAAGAUAUUUGGAAGGUGGAUUUCAAUUUAAAUCAGCUAUAUUUUUUGCUCUUUCAUCAAUGACCAGGUUCCAAAUGAAUACUAUAUUUUCAGAUUACUUAUCUUUUACGUUGUAUUGCAGAUCAAACGGAAUUAUAAAUUGUGGAUUUAUAGUUUACUACAACUUUAGAAUUGUAAUUAAAUCAAAUUUAGAUUACCAGUUUUUUGUUCGUGCUUUAAAGAUGAUUGUUUUAUGCUUGGUAUCAGUCGCUCCAUUCUUUAUUUUCCAGUAUUAUUCCUACUAUAUGUUUUGCCAGACUUCCGUCAAAAAUAUUCCUGAUAGAUUGAUUGACUAUGCUAAAGUCCGUCAAUAUAAAUUGCCUGGAGAAUCAAAAUUCUGCUCAAAGUUUCAAUUGCCAUAUUCUUACGUUCAAAAGAAUCACUGGAAUAAUGCUGGUUUCCUCAAUUAUUAUGAAUUUAAGCAAAUACCAAAUUUUCUUUUGGCAAGUCCAAUUCUUCUGCUGGUUUUUUCCAGUUCAUUUACUUACUUUAAAUCAUUAAAUAGAAGAUCAUGGAAGCAAAUUAUUGAAUCUCCUCUCUUUGUUUAUUCUGUACACUGCUUAGUUUUAACUUGUUUUGCAGUGUUAUUUAUGCAUGUACAAGUAACAACAAGAUUCCUCUGCUCAUCAACUCCGAUAAUUUAUUGGUUUGUCUCUUUAGUUAAAGAAGAUUCCACAGCAUACAAGCUACUUAAUUAUUAUUUUCGGUUCUAUUUCUUUAUUGGUAUUGCUGCUUUCUCAAAUUUUCUCCCAUGGACUUGAAGGCGUUUUCCAAGAACAUAAACAAAAAGUUGUCUAUAAAUAGGUAUAUUUUUAACAAUAAAAUUCACUAAGUGAUCUAUCCAAAGGAAACUAAAUUUUUUAUAUUUUCAAGUGAAAAUGAUAUUAAUAAUGUUCUCUCAAAUGGAAACUACAACAAUUAAAUUGAAAUGUACUUGUUAAAAAGUUCUUAGUUAUUAUUUACUAUACCAUUAAUAUUCUACUUCAAAGAUAGAACACAUAUCAAUCAGUUUAUUCAUUCAUCUCCUCUAAAAUAUUACUUAAUUUACUAGUAGAAGCUGUAUUUUAUAUAAAUUCAAUAUACAUAAUUUAAAAUGAUGAACUAAAAUUAGCAUUUACAUUACGUAUAUAAAUAAUCGUCUAUGCUCAGUUUAGCGAACUCAUUCAUAAAUUAAUAUUAGCUAAUACGCUCUUAUUGUUUCUGAAGCUUUAUCAGAAAAAUAAAAUAAGGUUUACAGUAAGGAAAGUUUUCCUGUUUUCUUCAUCACCUUGGUGACGUAAAAAGGACUUUAAAUUUAUGAUUAUAUGUCGUUUUCUAACAUUACCCUGAUCAAUAAACUUGACAUGAUAACAGUUUUUCAAUUUGCUAUGACUUAGUCGAUGGCUAAAUGGUCUUUUUCAAUUUAUAUUAAUAAUAUAUUGCUCUAAUUGUAUUGUUUUCAGUACAACUAUUGACAAUUAGUCAUAAGAAUCUUUUGCAUUAAAGAAUAGUUUUAGAUUCCAAAUACUCAUUCUCGUUCUGAACAUGCCAGUGCACAAUAUUCAUAUGUAUACUCUGGCCUUUGUAGCAUACCUUUCCUUCGUCAGAGUAUCCCACUCAGAGAAUCCGUUAAACUCUCCAGAAGUUAAAUUGAUUAACAAGCUUUUAUUAAACUAUGAGAAAAGAGCUAGACCGAUUAUUAAUGUUUCUGCUGCAAUUCCAGUAACGUACAAUAUUGAUAUUGUAGGAAUACAAGAAGUUGAUCCAAAGAAUCAACGAAUGAGCAUCUUUGCAUGGCAACCUAUGCAAUGGAAAGACGAAUUUCUGGCUUGGAAUAGUGAAGAACAUGGUGGUAUAAAAAGAAUCAUUCUUCCGACAGCUAGUAUCUGGAUUCCAGAUUUUGUUCUUCAAAACACAGCCGAUAAGUUUUAUAAUGAAGAAUCUCUAAAAUACUUCAAUGCAGAGGUUUCGCAUACAGGCAACGUAAUAUUUACUCCAGGUGGUAAACUCUCAACCUCAUGCCCAUUAAACAUGAAAUAUUUUCCUUUUGACUAUCAAGCUUGUAAAUUGUUGGUGUCUGUGUGGGCGCCAAGCUGCGCAGAAGUUAAAAUGGAAGCACUAUCCAAAAAAGUAGCCACAGACCGAUAUGAAGAAAGUGCAGAAUGGACUCUUGUUUCAACAUCGAUUAAAAAUGUCCAAAUUCUAUAUCUGGGAGUAAAGUACUGUUCUAUUGAAAUUAACUUGAAUUUACAACGGAAACCAUUAUAUUUCGUUCUAAUUUUUGUUAUACCUUGUAUUUUAUUGUCAUUUGUUUCAAUAGUAAGUUUUACUAUACCAGCAGAAGGGGGCGAAAGAAUAUCAAUGUCCAUGACCGUGUUAUUGAGUUUUUCUUUCUUUCUAAUAGUUCUUAAUGAUUUAUUACCGAAAAAUUCUGAUGAGGCGCCAAUAUUAGCUAUCUAUAUAGUUGUGGUAAUGGCUUUUAUGGGCAUGUCACUUAUAUGUACCAUUUUAGUAGUUAGACUCCACUAUUCUUCAAAGCCUGUUUCGCCUUUAAUUAAAAGAGUCAUCACUGGCUAUCUGGCUUUUUGUGUAAAAGUAAAAAUAUCACCUGAAAAAGCUACGGGUAUUGACUGGAAGGAUGUUGGGAAAGUACUUGACAGAAUUUUCAUUAUUAUAUUUUCAAUAUGUGUACUAAUCGUCACAAUUGUUGUCUUCUUUUUGAUAUUAACACACAGAAAGUAAAGUGAAGUGAGAUGUACAUUCUAUGAAGUGAUUUGUUUUAAUAAAUAUUGAGUAAUCUGGACUGCGAAAC
RNAcentral lists this unclassified non-coding RNA (3601 nucleotides) under Dimorphilus gyrociliatus. RNAcentral describes it as "dgyrCDS1833". The record is from RNAcentral. Lineage: Eukaryota; Metazoa; Annelida; Polychaeta; Dinophilidae.